This 490-nucleotide ribosomal RNA is filed under the name uncultured bacterium. RNAcentral's name for it is "partial 16S ribosomal RNA". It matches the Rfam family "Bacterial small subunit ribosomal RNA", at positions 30 to 507 of the family's 1533-position model. The record is from RNAcentral.
AUUGAACGCUGGCGGCAGGCCUAACACAUGCAAGUCGAACGGUAACAGGAAGAAGCUUGCUUCUUUGCUGACGAGUGGCGGACGGGUGAGUAAUGUCUGGGAAACUGCCUGAUGGAGGGGGAUAACUACUGGAAACGGUAGCUAAUACCGCAUAACGUCGCAAGACCAAAGAGGGGGACCUUCGGGCCUCUUGCCAUCGGAUGUGCCCAGAUGGGAUUAGCUUGUUGGUGGGGUAACGGCUCACCAAGGCGACGAUCCCUAGCUGGUCUGAGAGGAUGACCAGCCACACUGGAACUGAGACACGGUCCAGACUCCUACGGGAGGCAGCAGUGGGGAAUAUUGCACAAUGGGCGCAAGCCUGAUGCAGCCAUGCCGCGUGUAUGGAGAAGGCCUUCGGGUUGUAAAGUACUUUCAGCGGGGAGGAAGGGAGUAAAGUUAAUACCUUUGCUCAUUGACGUUACCCGCAGAAGAAGCACCGGCUAACUCCGUG